CCUACGGGUGGCAGCAGUGGGGAAUAUUGGGCAAUGGAGGAAACUCUGACCCAGCAAAGCCGCGUGAAUGAUGAAGGUAUUCGGAUUGUAAAGUUCUUUUCUUAGGGAAGAAGAAAGUGACGGUACCUUCGGAAUAAGCCUCGGCUAACUACGUGCCAGCAGCCGCGGUAAUACGUAGGAGGCAAGCGUUAUCCGGAAUGACUGGGCGUAAGGGGUGCGUAGGUGGUUUGACAAGUUGGUAGCGUAACUCCGAGGCUUAACCUCGGCACUACUACCAAAACUGUUGGACUCGAGUGCAGGAGAGGCAAAUGGAAUUCCUAGAGUAGCGGUGGAAUGCGUAGAUAUUAGGAGGAACACCAGUGGCGAAGGCGAUUUGCUGGACUGUAACUGACACUGAGGCACGAAAGCGUGGGUAGCAAACAGGAUUAGAUACCCGGGUAGUC
RNAcentral lists this ribosomal RNA (443 nucleotides) under uncultured bacterium. RNAcentral's name for it is "partial 16S ribosomal RNA". It matches the Rfam family "Bacterial small subunit ribosomal RNA", at positions 338 to 795 of the family's 1533-position model. The record is from RNAcentral.